Cyprinus carpio (common carp) is the source of this 430-nucleotide long non-coding RNA. RefSeq lists it as uncharacterized. The transcript is spliced from 3 exons. Lineage: Eukaryota; Metazoa; Chordata; Actinopteri; Cypriniformes; Cyprinidae. The record is from RefSeq and is a predicted model, not a curated record.
UGAGAAACGCGUCCUCACAAAAUAGCAAAUGUGUCUUUUGUGAUUUCAGAUGACAUUGCUGAGGACCUGGACAGACUGUCGAUUGCAUCUGAUGAUGAGUUGAGUUAUUCAGAAUCGGAAGACGAAACAUCAGAUGAUGAAGAUUUAUCCUCAGAUGAUGAUGAGAGUCAAGAACUGACCACUGAGCCAGAAGAGGAAACAGCAGAUGACAAAGAUUUUUCCUCAGAUAACAUGAGCCAAAAAUUGACUGCUGGGAGCGGGAAGGUUAUGUCGAUUUCAACCACCUUGACUAGAAAUGGGGCCCAACGCAUACGCAAUUCCUCCAGACAGGUCCCAACGCCAACCAACCCUCAAAAAACACAAUUGUGUUUUCAAGCCAAUGAGCCAAUAUAUUGUCCAGGGGGGCCAGAAACCCUAGCGGGGCCCCAGA